AUGUUUCUCUUCACCUGCAUUAUAAUACAGCUUUACAUGGGAAAUCUAUUUGGUGAUACAAUCAAACCACUGUUUCCAGACAAACAUAGUUCUGAGGGUGAAAAUGUGACUUUCUCCUGUAACUACACUCUUACUAGUGGCACCAGUGUUAAUCUCCAGUGGUAUCGCCAGUAUCCCGGAGCAAAACCAGAGUAUUUACUUUCUGUCACUGAAUAUUCAAACAGCUCUGAGUCUGAUCUUCGUCUGUUUUCAAACGCUGUCAAAGCACUGAAGCGUGUGGAUCUGCUACUCUCUUUUGCUGCAGUAUCAGACUCUGCUGUGUAUUACUGUGCUCUGAGGCCCACAGUGACUCAAACCCAAUAA
Molecule: non-coding RNA, 363 nt
Organism: Danio aesculapii
Lineage: Eukaryota; Metazoa; Chordata; Actinopteri; Cypriniformes; Danionidae
Source: the annotation of a RefSeq genome assembly